RNAcentral lists this ribosomal RNA (505 nucleotides) under uncultured bacterium. Its description in RNAcentral is "bacterial SSU rRNA". It matches the Rfam family "Bacterial small subunit ribosomal RNA", at positions 29 to 518 of the family's 1533-position model. The record is from RNAcentral.
AUGAACGCUGGCGGCGUGCCUAACACAUGCAAGUCGAACGGAGAAUUACGCUGAUGAAGCUUCGGCAGAUUCUUGUAAAUUCUUAGUGGCGGACGGGUGAGUAACGCGUGGGCAACCUGCCUCAUACUGGGGGAUAACAGCUGGAAACGACUGUUAAUACCGCAUAAGCGCACGGUAUCGCAUGAUACAGUGUGAAAAACUCCGGUGGUAUGAGAUGGGCCCGCGUCAGAUUAGCCAGUUGGCAGGGUAACGGCCUACCAAAGCGACGAUCUGUAGCCGGCCUGAGAGGGCGGACGGCCACAUUGGGACUGAGACACGGCCCAAACUCCUACGGGAGGCAGCAGUGGGGGAUAUUGCACAAUGGAGGAAACUCUGAUGCAGCGACGCCGCCGUGAGUGAAGAAGUAUUUCGGUAUGUAAAGCUCUAUCAGCAGGGAAGAAAGACUCGUAAGAGAGAUGACGGUACCUGACUAAGAAGCCCCGGCUAACUACGUGCCAGCCGCGGC